AAUUUUAUUGCCAACUAUAUUUCCUUUUCAAUUUUAUUUUUGUUUGUUUUGCUUUCCCUUUACUGUUCCUCUCUCUACUUCAAUCUUUUCCUCCAUCUUCUUCAUCCUCCAUCUCUCUCUAUCUCUAAUGCGACUCUGUAGUUUCCUCCAUUGCAAACCAAGCUUCCUUUUCUCUGAGAGCUCCAUCUCUCUUCCUUUCCCACUUAACCCACCAACCAACUCUUUUUCUUUUAAGUUUCUUCUUCUUCUUCCUUUCUACAACAUUGUUUUUUU
Molecule: long non-coding RNA, 273 nt
Filed under: Linum usitatissimum (flax)
Lineage: Eukaryota; Viridiplantae; Streptophyta; Magnoliopsida; Malpighiales; Linaceae
Description: long non-coding RNA (LUSI_LNC001787)
Source: RNAcentral